RNAcentral lists this ribosomal RNA (271 nucleotides) under uncultured bacterium. RNAcentral describes it as "partial 16S ribosomal RNA". It matches the Rfam family "Bacterial small subunit ribosomal RNA", at positions 524 to 794 of the family's 1533-position model. The record is from RNAcentral.
UACGGAGGGUCCAAGCGUUAAUCGGAAUUACUGGGCGUAAAGCGCGCGUAGGUGGUUUGUUAAGUUGAAUGUGAAAGCCCCGGGCUCAACCUGGGAACUGCAUCCAAAACUGGCAAGCUAGAGUAUGGCAGAGGGUGGUGGAAUUUCCUGUGUAGUGGUGAAAUGCGUAGAUAUAGGAAGGAACACCAGUGGUGAAGGCGACCACCUGGGCUAAUACUGACACUGAGGUGCGAAAGCGUGGGGAGCAAACAGGAUUAGAUACCCGGGUAGU